GAUGAACGCUAGCGGCGGGCCUAACACAUGCAAGUCGAGGGGUAACUAGAGUGAUAGCAAUAUUACUUUGGCUAGACCGGCGCACGGGUGCGUAACACGUAUGCAACCUACCUUAUACUGGGGAAUAACUUCGAGAAAUCGGCGCUAAUACCCCAUAACACUGCGGAGAGGCAUCUCUUUGCAGUUAAAGCUCCGGCGGUAUAAGAUGGGCAUGCGUCCAAUUAGCUGGUUGGUGAGGUAACGGCUCACCAAGGCUACGAUUGGUAGGGGUUCAGGGAGGAUGAUCCCCCACACUGGUACUGAGACACGGACCAGACUCCUACGGGAGGCAGCAGUGAGGAAUAUUGCGCAAUGGACGAAAGUCUGACGCAGCCAUGCCGCGUGCAGGAUGACGGCCCUAUGGGUUGUAAACUGCUUUUGUACGGGAAUAAACCCUUCUACGUGUAGGAGGCUGAAGGUACCGUAAGAAUAAGCACCGGCUAACUCCGUGCCAGCCGCCGCCGUAA
RNAcentral lists this ribosomal RNA (506 nucleotides) under uncultured bacterium. RNAcentral's name for it is "partial 16S ribosomal RNA". It matches the Rfam family "Bacterial small subunit ribosomal RNA", at positions 28 to 523 of the family's 1533-position model. The record is from RNAcentral.